This 484-nucleotide ribosomal RNA is filed under the name uncultured bacterium. RNAcentral's name for it is "SSU rRNA". It matches the Rfam family "Bacterial small subunit ribosomal RNA", at positions 26 to 521 of the family's 1533-position model. The record is from RNAcentral.
AGGACGAACGCUGGCGGCGUGCCUAACACAUGCAAGUCGAGCGGAAAGGCCUCCUUCGGGAGGUACUCGAGCGGCGAACGGGUGAGUAACACGUGGGCAACCAACCCCUCACAUCGGGAUACCCCGGGGAAACUCGGAUCAAUACCGGAUAAUGCGCGACGCUGUUGGGCGUCGCACCAAAGGUAGCUUCGGCCUCUGGUGAGGGACGGGCCCGCGGCCCAUUAGCUUGUUGGUGGGGUAACGGCCUACCAAGGCAACGAUGGGUAGCUGGUCUGAGAGGAUGAUCAGCCACACUGGGACUGAGAUACGGCCCAGACUCCUACGGGAGGCAGCAGUGGGGAAUAUUGGACAAUGGGCGCAAGCCUGAUCCAGCAAUGCCGCGUGAGUGAUGAAGGCCUUAGGGUUGUAAAGCUCUUUCGCCCGCGACGAUGAUGACGGUAGCGGGAGAAGAAGCCCCGGCUAACUUCGCGCCAGCAGCCGCGGU